UGGGGAAUAUUGCACAAUGGGCGCAAGCCUGAUGCAGCCAUGCCGCGUGUGUGAAGAAGGCCUCGGGUUGUAAAGCACUUUCAGCGAGGAGGAAGGUGGUGAGCUUAAUACGCUCAUCAAUUGACGUUACUCGCAGAAGAAGCACCGGCUAACUCCGUGCCAGCAGCCGCGGUAAUACGGAGGGUGCAAGCGUUAAUCGGAAUUACUGGGCGUAAAGCGCACGCAGGCGGUUUGUUAAGUCAGAUGUGAAAUCCCCCGGGCUCAACCUGGGAACUGCAUUUGAAACUGGCAAGCUAGAGUCUCGUAGAGGGGGGUAGAAUUCCAGGUGUAGCGGUGAAAUGCGUAGAGAUCUGGAGGAAUACCGGUGGCGAAGGCCGGCCCCCCUGGACGAAGACUGACGCUCAGGUGCGAAAAGGCGUGGGGGAGCAAAACAGGAUUAGAUACCCUGGUAGUCCACGCUGU
RNAcentral lists this ribosomal RNA (462 nucleotides) under uncultured bacterium. RNAcentral describes it as "partial 16S ribosomal RNA". It matches the Rfam family "Bacterial small subunit ribosomal RNA", at positions 355 to 803 of the family's 1533-position model. The record is from RNAcentral.